GACAAGGUUCCAGGCCCUACGGGGUGCAGCAGGCGCGAAACCUCCGCAAUGUGAGAAAUCGCGACGGGGGGAUCCCAAGUGCCAUUCUUAACGGGAUGGCUUUUCAUUAGUGUAAAGAGCUUUUGGAAUAAGAGCUGGGCAAGACCGGUGCCAGCCGCCGCGGUAACACCGGCAGCUCUAGUGGUAACAAUUUUUAUUGGGCCUAAAGCGUCCGUAGCCGGUUUAAUAAGUCUCUGGUGAAAUCCUGUAGCUUAACUGUGGGAAUUGCUGGAGAUACUAUUAGACUUGAGACCGGGAGAGGUUAGAGGUACUCCCAGGGUAGAGGUGAAAUUCUGUAAUCCUGGGAGGACCGCCUGUUGCGAAGGCGUCUAACUGGAACGGUUCUGACGGUGAGGGACGAAAGUUAGGGGCGCGAACCGGAUUAGAUACCCGGGUAGUCCUAACUGUAAACGAUGCGGACUUGGUGUUGGGGUGGCUUUGAGCUGUCCCAGUGCCGAAGGGAAGCUGUUAAGUCCGCCGCCUGGGAAGUACGGUCGCAAGACUGAAACUUAA
This 552-nucleotide ribosomal RNA is filed under the name uncultured archaeon. RNAcentral describes it as "bacterial SSU rRNA". It matches the Rfam family "Archaeal small subunit ribosomal RNA", at positions 307 to 859 of the family's 1478-position model. The record is from RNAcentral.